RNAcentral lists this ribosomal RNA (422 nucleotides) under Enterobacter cloacae. Its description in RNAcentral is "bacterial SSU rRNA". It matches the Rfam family "Bacterial small subunit ribosomal RNA", at positions 69 to 480 of the family's 1533-position model. The record is from RNAcentral. Lineage: Bacteria; Pseudomonadati; Pseudomonadota; Gammaproteobacteria; Enterobacterales; Enterobacteriaceae.
GUAACAGGAAGCAGCUUGCUGCUUUGCUGACGAGUGGCGGACGGGUGAGUAAUGUCUGGGAAACUGCCUGAUGGAGGGGGAUAACUACUGGAAACGGUAGCUAAUACCGCAUAACGUCGCAAGACCAAAGAGGGGGACCUUCGGGCCUCUUGCCAUCGGAUGUGCCCAGAUGGGAUUAGCUAGUAGGUGGGGUAACGGCUCACCUAGGCGACGAUCCCUAGCUGGUCUGAGAGGAUGACCAGCCACACUGGAACUGAGACACGGUCCAGACUCCUACGGGAGGCAGCAGUGGGGAAUAUUGCACAAUGGGCGCAAGCCUGAUGCAGCCAUGCCGCGUGUAUGAAGAAGGCCUUCGGGUUGUAAAGUACUUUCAGCGGGGAGGAAGGUGAUAAGGUUAAUAACCUCAUCAAUUGACGUUACCC